AUUUCAAAUAAUUUCAAUGGGGAACAUGUAUUUGAUAUACAAGCAAAUUGAGUUACAAGCUCAGUCAUAGUACAAAUUAAACUCGUAAGUCCAAGUACCAUUAUAGAUUUGAAAAAACACAACAUGAC
Long non-coding RNA from Sphaeramia orbicularis (orbiculate cardinalfish), 128 nucleotides. RefSeq lists it as uncharacterized. The record is from RefSeq and is a predicted model, not a curated record. The transcript is spliced from 3 exons. Lineage: Eukaryota; Metazoa; Chordata; Actinopteri; Kurtiformes; Apogonidae.